RNAcentral lists this ribosomal RNA (425 nucleotides) under uncultured bacterium. RNAcentral's name for it is "bacterial SSU rRNA". It matches the Rfam family "Bacterial small subunit ribosomal RNA", at positions 359 to 776 of the family's 1533-position model. The record is from RNAcentral.
GAAUAUUGGACAAUGGGCGAAAGCCUGAUCCAGCGACGCCGCGUGGGUGAAGAAGGCCUGCGGGUUGUAAAGCCCUUUCGGUGGGGAAGAAAAGCCUCGACCUAACACGUCGGGGUAUUGACGUAACCUACGAAAGAAGCACCGGCUAACUCUGUUCCAGCAGCCGCGGUAAUACAGAGGGGGCGAGCGUUAAUCGGAAUUACUGGGCGGAAAGCGCGCGUAGGCGGUUUUGUAAGUCGGGUGUGAAAUCCCCAAGCUCAACUUGGGAACUGCAUUCGAGACUGCAUUGCUAGAGUAUGGGAGAGGGAAGUGGAAUUUCCGGUGUAGCGGUGAAAUGCGUAGAUAUCGGAAGGAACAUCAGUGGCGAAAGCGACUUCCUGGACCAAUACUGACGCUCAAGUGCGAAAGCGUGGGGAGCAAACAGG